This 253-nucleotide ribosomal RNA is filed under the name uncultured bacterium. RNAcentral describes it as "partial 16S ribosomal RNA". It matches the Rfam family "Bacterial small subunit ribosomal RNA", at positions 524 to 776 of the family's 1533-position model. The record is from RNAcentral.
UACGGGGGGGGCAAGCGUUGUUCGGAAUUACUGGGCGUAAAGGGCUCGUAGGUGGCCAACUAAGUCAGACGUGAAAUCCCUCGGCUUAACCGGGGAACUGCGUCUGAUACUGGAUGGCUUGAGUUUGGGAGAGGGAUGCGGAAUUCCAGGUGUAGCGGUGAAAUGCGUAGAUAUGCGGAGGAACACCGAUGGCGAAGGCAAUCCCCUGGACCUGUACUGACGCUCAUGCACGAAAGCGUGGGGAGCAAACAGG